This 1164-nucleotide unclassified non-coding RNA is filed under the name Hevea brasiliensis (rubber tree). The record is from RNAcentral. Lineage: Eukaryota; Viridiplantae; Streptophyta; Magnoliopsida; Malpighiales; Euphorbiaceae.
GUUGAGGAGUAUGAUCAUAUCUUGGUGAUAAUUGACAGAUUCUCAAAAUAUGAAACCUUUGUGCCGAUGUCAAGAUAUUGUUCAGCUGAAAAUACAACCCGUGCCUUCUUCAAACAUAUAGUGAAAUACUGGGGGAUCCCAAAAAGCAUUGUUAACGAUCGAGAUGGCUGAUUCAUAGGCUCCUCCUGGUCAGAAUUGUUUCACCUCUUAAGGACUAGAUUGGAUGUCUUCACCAGCUUUUAUCCACAAACAGAUGGCCAAACGGAAAGAUUCAAUGGUCUACUGGAGGAAUACUUGCGGCAUUUUGUAAAUGCCAGUCAGAAGAAUUGGGCCUCCUUGCUCGAUGUUGCACAAUUUUGUUUUAACUCUUUAAAGAGCUCUGCUACUAAUAAAAGUCCUUUUGAGAUUGUUUCAGGACAGCAACCUUUGGCACCUCACACAUUGGAUGGUCCAUACACCGGCAGGAAUCCCAAAGCAUACCACUUCAUGAAGGAGUGGAAGCAGACAGCUGAUAUUGCCAGAGCUCGAUUGGAAAAGGCAGCCAAGCGCAUGAAGAAAUGGGCAGAUGAAAAUCGACGACCACAGGAAUUCACAGUGGGAGACCUGGUGAUGGUGAAGUUACUUCCAGAACAACUCAGAUUUCUUCGCAACCGAGACAGCAGAUUGGUCCGCAAGUAUGAAGGGCCUAUGCCGAUCAUUGCCAAAGUGGGCCAAGUUUCCUACAAAGUAGAGCCACCAGCAUGGAUGAAGAUCCACCCAGUUUUCCAUGUGAGCAGGUUGAAGCCAUACCACGCCGAUCAAACUGAUGUCAGCCGCAACAAAUCCUUCAGGCCAGCCAUCACCACCGCACCACCAGUCAAUCAAGGAGUUGAAGAGAUUCUUGCCGAAAGAGUAGUCAGAACCACCAAGAGGCCGCCACACAAGGAGUAUCUCGUCAAAUGGAAGGGCUUAAGCGCAGAGGAGACCAGCUGGGAGAAAGCAACAGACCUCCAACAAUAUGUCCAGAAGAUUGAAGAUUUUCUACAAGCGCAGUCAACGAGGACGUCGACCAUUCAAGUGGGGGAGAAUGUCAAGGGGUAGGAAGUUUGGGGAGAAUGAUGUGUAAACUUAACCUCUUUAAGGGGCAAAAGAGACAAUUUGUAUUUUAUUUUUAUUUAUGUAAUU